Molecule: long non-coding RNA, 394 nt
Organism: Gallus gallus (chicken)
Lineage: Eukaryota; Metazoa; Chordata; Aves; Galliformes; Phasianidae
Exons: 2
Source: RefSeq, a predicted model, not a curated record
GAGAGCAGGAGGGACUCACCAUGUGAGAUCCUUGAGACCGCCCCACAGCCACCAAGGAAGAGCACUGCAAAACCUCCCUUCCUCUCCCAGCACCAAGCUACUCCCAGACUUCUCUAGCACACAGUCCCCAAAAGCCACCAACAAGCUGAGCCCCCACAGUUCAGGUUCUGGACACAAACUUCUCCCAAGCCCCAGGAGCUGAGACCUGCAAGAUGUGGCUGCACUGGAGACUCGGUAAUGAGACUCCAAUACACUGGGAUCCUGACUGCCCUAACUCAAUCUCCCAACCUGAUGCGGACAGCUGUAAUUGUGCUAAUUAGCUGCAGAACCUGUGAUGUACUUCAGCUGGGCUCAGAGUGAAGAGAGAUUAAAACAAAGCCAAAUGAGUGAGAAA